RNAcentral lists this ribosomal RNA (346 nucleotides) under Lophotus capellei (unicornfish). RNAcentral's name for it is "partial 12S ribosomal RNA". It matches the Rfam family "Bacterial small subunit ribosomal RNA", at positions 801 to 1359 of the family's 1533-position model. Lineage: Eukaryota; Metazoa; Chordata; Actinopteri; Lampriformes; Lophotidae. The record is from RNAcentral.
UGAUAGUACUUCACAACCACUAUCCGCCCGGGUACUACGAGCACCAGCUUAAAACCCAAAGGACUUGGCGGUGCCCCAGACCCCCCUAGAGGAGCCUGUUCUAGAACCGAUAAUCCCCGUUCAACCUCACCACCUCUUGCCCCCUGCCUAUAUACCGCCGCCGUCAGCUUACCCUGUGAAGGUAAAAUAGUAAGCCAAGUUGGUACAGCCAAAAACGUCAGGUCGAGGUGUAGCGUACGAGGUGGGAAGAAAUGGGCUACAUUCCUUUAUGAUAAGGUAAUACGAAAGGGGUAUUGAAACAUACCCCCUGAAGGAGGAUUUGCAGUAAGCCUGGAAUAAAGUGCCU